GAAGAUUUGGGUCGACCCUUCCCGUGGACUGUUCGGGUGAUUUUGGCCCACGUGGGCUGUCUGUUCAGUACACACAGGACGUCCGUGGGUGGCUGCCAGCACACACAGGACAUCCGUGGCUGUCCGUGUGAGUCCGUCUGUGUCCGUCAGCACACACAGGACGUCCGUGGCUGUCCAUCAAUACACAUAUCAUCACGUUGGUCCUUUGACUCAGCACGCUGGCCCUUCCCGUGGACAGUUUGGGUGAUUUUGGCCCACGUGGGCUGUCUGUUCAGUACACACAGAACGUCCAUGGGUGUCCGCCAGCACACACAGGACGUCUGUGGCUGUCCGUCAGAACACACAGGACGUCUGUGGCUGUCCGUGUGUGUCCGUGUGUGUCCUUCAGCACACACAGGACGUCCGUGGCUGCCCAUCAGUACACAUAUCAGCACGUUGGUCCUUGGACUCAGCACGCUAACCCUUCCCGUGGACUGUUCGGGUGAUUUUGGCCCACGUGGAACGUCGCUAGAUGUCAUGUGUGUGCUGACAGACAACCACGGACAGCCACGGACAUCCUGUGUGUGCUGGCAGACACCCACGGACGUCCUGUGUGUACUGAACAUACAGCCCACGUGGGCCAAAAUCACACAAACAGUCUACGGGAAGGGCCAGCGUGCUGAGUCCAUGGACCAACGUGCUGAUACGUGUACUGAUGGACAGCGACGGACAUCCUGUGUGUUCUCGGAAAGACGGACAGACACUGACACACACAGACAGCCACAGACGUCCUGUGUGUGCUGGCGGACACCCACGAACGUCCUGUGUGUACUGAAUAGACAGCCCAUGUGGGCCAAAAUCACCCGAACAGUCCACGGGAAGGGUUAGCUUGCUGAGUCCAAGGACUAAUGUGCUGAUAUGUGUACCGAUGGGCAGCCACGGACAUCCUGUGUUUGCUGACGGACACACACGGACACACACGGAUAGCCACGGACGUGCUGUGUGUGCUGACGGACAGCCACAGACAUCCUGUGUGUGCUGGCAUACACCCACUGACGUCCUGUGUGUACUAAACAGACAGCCCACGUCGGCCAAAAUCACCCAGACAGUCCACGGGAAGGGCCAGCGUGCUGAGUCAAAGGACCAACGUGAUGAUAUGUGUAUUGAUGGAAAGCCACAGACGUCCUGUGUGUUCUGACGGACACACACGGACUCACACGGACAGCCACGGACAUCCUGUGUGUACUGGGGGACACCCACGGACGGCCUGUGUGUAAGGGGAUCCGGUUAAAAUUCCAGAACCGGUACAUGGCGGUUGACGGCAACGUUAGGAAGUCCGGCGACGUCGGCAGGAAUUCCAGAAACAGUUAUCUUUUCUGUUUAGCAGCCUGCCCACCCUGGAAACGGCUCAGCCGGAGGUAGGGUCCAGCGGCUGGAAGAGCACCGCACGUCGCGUGGUCUCCGGUGCAUUCCCGGCGGCCCUUGAAAAUCUGGAGGACCGAGUGCUGCUCACGCCCGGUCGUACUCAUAACCGCAUUAGGUCUCCAAGAUGAACAGCCUCUGGUCGAUGGAACAAUGUAGGCAAGGGAAGUCGGCAAAAUGGAUCCGUAAUUUCGGGAAAAGGAUUGGCUCUGAGGGCUGGGCUCGGGGGUCCCAGUUCCGAACCCGUCGACUGUUAGCGGGCUGCUUGAGUUGCUAACGUGGUGAGAGCGGACCGCCUCGUGUCGGCCUGGGGACAGACUGGGAACGGCUCUUUCGGGAUCUUUCCCCGAGCGUCGAACAGCCAACUCAAAAAUGGUACGGACAAGGGGAAUCCGACUGUUUAAUUAAAACAAAGAAUUGCGAUGGUCCCUGCAGAUGCUAACGCAAUGUGAUUUAUGCCCAGUGCUCUGAAUGUCAAAGUGAAGAAAUUCAACCAAGCGCGGGUAAACGGCGGGAGUAACUAUGACUCUCUUAAGGUAGCCAAAUGCCUCGUCAUCUAAUUACUGACGCGCAUGAAUGGAAUAACGAGAUUCCCACUGUCCCUGUCUACUAUCCAGCGAAGCACAGCCAAGGGAACAGGCUUGGCAGAAUCAGCAGGGAAAGAAGACCCUGUUGAGCUUGACUCUAGUCCGACUUUGUGAAAUGACUUGAGAGGUGUAGAAUAAGUGGGAGCUCCAGCGCAAGUGAAAUACCACAACUUUUAACGUUAUUUUACUUACUCCGUGAAUCGGAGGCGGGGUAACAACCCCUUUUUUUAGACCCAAGACUCGCUUCGGCGGGUCAAUCCGGGCGGAGGACAUUGUCAGGUGGGGAGUUUGGCUGGGGCGGCACAUCUGUUAAAUGAUAACGCAGGUGUCCUAAGAUGAGCUCAACGACAACAUAAAUCUCGUGUGGAACAAAAGGGUAAAAGCUCGUUUGAUUCUGAUUUUCAGUACGAAUAUGAACCGUGAAAGCUGGCUUGUGGCAGCCAAGCGUUCAUAGCGACGUUGCUGUUCGUGCUGAGUCUGUUCCAUUUUCAACUUCAGGAUUGAGAGCACGGUCUAUCAAGCCGUACUAUGGGUGAUUCUCAACUUCAGGACACCAAAUCUCCAACGCUUUACCACACAAAUACUCACUGAUGAAAGUCACAAGAUGGUGAGAAAGGGUCGUCCCAGC
RNAcentral lists this ribosomal RNA (2616 nucleotides) under Brassica rapa (field mustard). RNAcentral describes it as "eukaryotic LSU rRNA". The stretch from base 1057 to 2616 matches the Rfam family "Eukaryotic large subunit ribosomal RNA", at positions 1 to 2810 of the family's 3401-position model. The record is from RNAcentral. Lineage: Eukaryota; Viridiplantae; Streptophyta; Magnoliopsida; Brassicales; Brassicaceae.